CUUCUUCAAUCUGCUGCGGGCAGAUGAAGUGGAUAUGGGUGUCCACCGCACCGGCGGUGACGAUCAUGCCCUCGCAGGCAAUCACCUCGGUGCCGGGGCCGAUGAUGAUGUCCACCCCGUCUUGCGUGUCUGGAUUGCCAGCCUUGCCGAUCGCGACGAUGCGGCUGUUCUUCAGGCCGAUAUCGGCCUUGAUGAUGCCCCAGUGGUCGAGGAUCAGGGCAUUGGUCAGCACCGUGUCCACCGCACCUUCGUCCCGCGUGCGCUGCGACUGCGCCAUGCCGUCGCGUAUG
Molecule: small RNA, 290 nt
Organism: Paucibacter sp. KCTC 42545
Lineage: Bacteria; Pseudomonadati; Pseudomonadota; Betaproteobacteria; Burkholderiales; Sphaerotilaceae
Rfam family: 5' ureB small RNA
Source: Rfam